RNAcentral lists this ribosomal RNA (500 nucleotides) under uncultured bacterium. Its description in RNAcentral is "partial 16S ribosomal RNA". It matches the Rfam family "Bacterial small subunit ribosomal RNA", at positions 30 to 523 of the family's 1533-position model. The record is from RNAcentral.
AUUGAACGCUGGCGGAAUGCUUUACACAUGCAAGUCGAACGGCAGCACGGACUUCGGUCUGGUGGCGAGUGGCGAACGGGUGAGUAAUGUAUCGGCACGUGCCCAGUCGUGGGGGAACACGUAGUGAAAAUUACGCUAAUACCGCAUACGAUCUAUGGAUGAAAGGGGGGGAUCGCAAGACCCCGCGGGCUUGGAGCGGCCGUUAUCGGAUUAGGUAGGUGGUGGGGGAAAGGCCCACCAAGCCAACGAUCUGUAGCUGGUCUGAGAGGACGACCAGCCACACUGGAACUGAGACACGGUCCAGACUCCUACGGGAGGCAGCAGUGGGGAAUUUUGGACAAUGGGCGAAAGCCUGAUCCAGCCAUUCCGCGUGCAGGAUGAAGGCCCUCGGGUUGUAAACUGCUUUUGUACAGAACGAAAAGGUUUCUACUAAUACUAGGAGCUCAUGACGGUACUGUAAGAAUAAGCACCGGCUAACUACGUGCCAGCAGCCGCCGUAA